GACGAACGCUGGCGGCGUGCCUAAUACAUGCAAGUUGAGCGCUGAAGGUUGGUACUUGUACCAACUGGAUGAGCAGCGAACGGGUGAGUAACGCGUGGGGAAUCUGCCUUUGAGCGGGGGACAACAUUUGGAAACGAAUGCUAAUACCGCAUAAAAACUUUAAACACAAGUUUUAAGUUUGAAAGAUGCAAUUGCAUCACUCAAAGAUGAUCCCGCGUUGUAUUAGCUAGUUGGUGAGGUAAAGGCUCACCAAGGCGAUGAUACAUAGCCGACCUGAGAGGGUGAUCGGCCACAUUGGGACUGAGACACGGCCCAAACUCCUACGGGAGGCAGCAGUAAGGAAUCUUCGGCAAUGGACGAAAGUCUGACCGAGCAACGCCGCGUGAGUGAAGAAGGUUUUCGGAUCGUAAAACUCUGUUGGUAGAGAAGAACGUUGGUGAGAGUGGAAAGCUCAUCAAGUGACGGUAACUACCCAGAAAGGGACGGCUAACUACGUG
RNAcentral lists this ribosomal RNA (497 nucleotides) under uncultured bacterium. RNAcentral describes it as "partial 16S ribosomal RNA". It matches the Rfam family "Bacterial small subunit ribosomal RNA", at positions 28 to 507 of the family's 1533-position model. The record is from RNAcentral.